Molecule: long non-coding RNA, 420 nt
Organism: Lathyrus oleraceus (garden pea)
Lineage: Eukaryota; Viridiplantae; Streptophyta; Magnoliopsida; Fabales; Fabaceae
Exons: 3
Source: RefSeq, a predicted model, not a curated record
GGAUUGUAUGUGCUCCUUUUCUCCGACAGAGAGAGCAAAUCAACAGGACCUGAAGGCAGAUGAGAAGAAGCCUCUUCAGUAAGUUUCCAUGCAACAGAUUUAUGGAAACUCAUCGGCAGCCUCAUGGGCAACACAGGUAUGCACCUGUCUAUCAAGACAAUAACUUUCUUCAGGAGAGGAACAAACCCUUAGAACAGUUGCAAUGGUGAAUUGGUCCGGCAACAGUCCACUCUGUAAUAAAUCAACAAGCCUCCUUAAAGAAUAUUCCUCUAAACCACUCAUAGCACAGUCAGUUCUAGCCGGUUAAAAUAGCAUAAACGUGAAGAGUCUCGGAAGCAGAUGGGGAAACAUAGAGGAGGCACAACUUGAAGAAGUGGAGUUGACAAUGGAUCUUUGAGCAGAUAACAAGGGUUGGCAAAU